Molecule: non-coding RNA, 315 nt
Organism: Pelobates cultripes (western spadefoot toad)
Lineage: Eukaryota; Metazoa; Chordata; Amphibia; Anura; Pelobatidae
Source: the annotation of a GenBank genome assembly
GCCGUCUUCUUUACUAUCAUCCCAAGAUGUCUGCAAAAGAUAUCAAGUUACUAAAAUAUCCAUUUGCUAUAGAAAUUAGCACAUCAUUUCCCUCUCCAAGCACACAGUCUAGGAGUUAGCUCCCAUUCUGUUCAAGCAGGUACACUGUCAUUAAAACCAGAACCUUUGAGGACUGGAGAUCAGUGUUCUAAAACAUUAUUAAAUAUUGUUUUUAAUAGAGCACAUUGAUAAAAUAACACACAGGAAGCUAUUAGAUAAGAGUAAACCCCCAAACUGUGGAUUUUUGUUAGAGCAAGGGCAGUAAGUGUCACCUCC